AAAAAGUUAGUUUAAAUUUUAAAACAUUAGCUUGUCAAGCUAAAAAUAUUAAUUCAAUACUUUUUA
Molecule: transfer RNA, 66 nt
Filed under: Rhynocoris fuscipes
Lineage: Eukaryota; Metazoa; Arthropoda; Insecta; Hemiptera; Reduviidae
Description: tRNA-Asp
Rfam family: tRNA
About the family: Transfer RNA (tRNA) molecules are approximately 80 nucleotides in length.
Source: RNAcentral